This 445-nucleotide ribosomal RNA is filed under the name uncultured bacterium. RNAcentral's name for it is "SSU rRNA". It matches the Rfam family "Bacterial small subunit ribosomal RNA", at positions 26 to 518 of the family's 1533-position model. The record is from RNAcentral.
AGAACGAACGCUGGCGGCAUGCCUAACACAUGCAAGUCGAACGAGAUCUUCGGGUCUAGUGGCGCACGGGUGCGUAACGCGUGGGAACCUGCCUUGAGGUUCGGAAUAACUCCCCGAAAGGGGUGCUAAUACCGGAUAAUGUCUUCGGACCAAAGAUUUAUCGCCUUUAGAUGGGCCCGCGUUGGAUUAGCUAGUUGGUGGGGUAAAGGCCUACCAAGGCGACGAUCCAUAGCUGGUCUGAGAGGAUGAUCAGCCACACUGGGACUGAGACACGGCCCAGACUCCUACGGGAGGCAGCAGUGGGGAAUAUUGGACAAUGGGCGAAAGCCUGAUCCAGCAAUGCCGCGUGAGUGAUGAAGGCCUUAGGGUUGUAAAGCUCUUUACUGGGGAUGAUAAUGACAGUACCCAGAGAAUAAGCUCCGGCUAACUCCGUGCCAGCAGCCGC